UUAACAUGUAAAUUCAGAUAAUAGUUUAUUUUAAGGACAUCUAUGCGUAUUGCGAUCACCGGAUUUUUACGGGAUGGGUCACACUGAGGUCACUUUGCAUACGGAAAAUAUGUCGGGGGAAUUGCCUCCUGGAAGGAAGCAAUUAAAAUAAAGUAAACUUCUUCUAAAUAUGAAUAUAUUAAAGAAUUUUCUUCAGAAAAAAGUAUAUGUACA
Molecule: long non-coding RNA, 213 nt
Filed under: Mytilus galloprovincialis (Mediterranean mussel)
Lineage: Eukaryota; Metazoa; Mollusca; Bivalvia; Mytilida; Mytilidae
Source: RNAcentral